RNAcentral lists this long non-coding RNA (1286 nucleotides) under Salmo salar (Atlantic salmon). Its description in RNAcentral is "lncRNA (ENSSSAG00000118907.1, ENSSSAG00020008269.1)". Lineage: Eukaryota; Metazoa; Chordata; Actinopteri; Salmoniformes; Salmonidae. The record is from RNAcentral.
GUCCUGGUAACCCAUCUGGCCCGUCGACCUUGUGAAUGUUGACCUGUUUGAAUGUCUUGCUCACAUCGGCCACAGAGAGCGUGAUCACAAAGUCGUCCGGAACAGCUGGUGCUCUCAUGCAUGCUUCAGUGUUGAUUGCCUCGACGCGAGCAUAAAGGGCAUUUAGCUCAUCUGUGUCCUCUCUGAAGGGGUUAGUGUGUGAGGGCUCCAGCCUGCUACUUCUGAUGCUACUCCAUCUGAGAAAGAACUUGCCGAAAAACAUGACAUUCCUCUCCUUUCACCAGGACACACAUCUCAACCUCCACAUAUUUGAAGUCUGGUGGGUCAUACUGGUCAGAGGGAGCUGGGGUGCAGACACCAGACUGUGGGAGUGAAAGUUGUGGGUGUGUUUGGAAGGACGGUGGACUCAGUGGAGGAUAUCCCAGCCAAUUGGCAGUGUUGGCACUGCUACUUUCUACCUGAUGGGACGAGUUGAAGGUGGAGCAUGCCUCGUACCUGUGGAAGCACCUGGAACUCUGUGCCAUGAUGGCCGACUUCUUGCAAUUCCUGUUACUACGAAAACCGAGCUAUGUCUUCAUGUUCGCCCAUGAGGACAUCUCUCCCUUCGCCUCCCGGCAACCCUUCAAUACCUUCAAUACCUCCUCACCUUGAGGACACACACUGUGCCUGCGUCUCAAUAGUCUUGUAGGUUCCUCCUACUGGCACUUUAGUGAGGACAAUACUGUUCUGGUUAGCACUUGUCAUUAGUAUGUAGAGGCCCUCCAUCAUCAAAUGAAUGCUUUUAUGUAUCUUUUUUGUAUUUUAUUUUGUGAUACUGUUUUUACUUUCUACUGUUUUUGUAUGAGCUGCAAUGAAACAAAUUCCAAUCAACUGUUGAUAUGCCAGUCGCAAGAGUUACAGUUGUCAGUUGGUGUGAAUAAAAUAUUAUUAUUAUUAUUUCAUGUCUUGUAUAUUAACUUUAUCCUCGAGUGUGAUAAUUUCAGUAACUGCUACCUUGCUUUGGCUCUGAUGUGAUCACCCCAUAAAUCUGUAAGAAUGAAAUGCUAUGUAUGUAUGAUCUGGUUUCUGAAUGGAAUACUUUGAUGAGUGUCCUUUCAACUGGCCUUUACCUAAUUUGUCAAGACAACAUGGUUUUGUUGUCCUUUAAACUUUAAUCCAUACCUCUGAUUCAACCACAAAUGUGUCACACCCUGAUCAGUUUCACCUGUCCUCGUUAUUGUCAGCACACCUUCCAGGUGUCGCUUGUUUUCCCCACUGUAUUUAUCCCUGUUUCCUGUCUCUCUGUG